GUUAAGCGACUAAGCGUACACGGUGGAUGCCCUGGCAGUCAGAGGCGAUGAAGGACGUGCUAAUCUGCGAUAAGCGUCGGUAAGGUGAUAUGAACCGUUAUAACCGGCGAUUUCCGAAUGGGGAAACCCAGUGUGUUUCGACACACUAUCAUUAACUGAAUCCAUAGGUUAAUGAGGCGAACCGGGGGAACUGAAACAUCUAAGUACCCCGAGGAAAAGAAAUCAACCGAGAUUCCCCCAGUAGCGGCGAGCGAACGGGGAGCAGCCCAGAGCCUGAAUCAGUGUGUGUGUUAGUGGAAGCGUCUGGAAAGGCGCGCGAUACAGGGUGACAGCCCCGUACACAAAAAUGCACAUGCUGUGAGCUCGAUGAGUAGGGCGGGACACGUGGUAUCCUGUCUGAAUAUGGGGGGACCAUCCUCCAAGGCUAAAUACUCCUGACUGACCGAUAGUGAACCAGUACCGUGAGGGAAAGGCGAAAAGAACCCCGGCGAGGGGAGUGAAAAAGAACCUGAAACCGUGUACGUACAAGCAGUGGGAGCACGCUUAGGCGUGUGACUGCGUACCUUUUGUAUAAUGGGUCAGCGACUUAUAUUCUGUAGCAAGGUUAACCGAAUAGGGGAGCCGAAGGGAAACCGAGUCUUAACUGGGCGUUAAGUUGCAGGGUAUAGACCCGAAACCCGGUGAUCUAGCCAUGGGCAGGUUGAAGGUUGGGUAACACUAACUGGAGGACCGAACCGACUAAUGUUGAAAAAUUAGCGGAUGACUUGUGGCUGGGGGUGAAAGGCCAAUCAAACCGGGAGAUAGCUGGUUCUCCCCGAAAGCUAUUUAGGUAGCGCCUCGUGAAUUCAUCUCCGGGGGUAGAGCACUGUUUCGGCAAGGGGGUCAUCCCGACUUACCAACCCGAUGCAAACUGCGAAUACCGGAGAAUGUUAUCACGGGAGACACACGGCGGGUGCUAACGUCCGUCGUGAAGAGGGAAACAACCCAGACCGCCAGCUAAGGUCCCAAAGUCAUGGUUAAGUGGGAAACGAUGUGGGAAGGCCCAGACAGCCAGGAUGUUGGCUUAGAAGCAGCCAUCAUUUAAAGAAAGCGUAAUAGCUCACUGGUCGAGUCGGCCUGCGCGGAAGAUGUAACGGGGCUAAACCAUGCACCGAAGCUGCGGCAGCGACGCUUAUGCGUUGUUGGGUAGGGGAGCGUUCUGUAAGCCUG
This 1209-nucleotide ribosomal RNA is filed under the name Escherichia coli. RNAcentral's name for it is "partial 23S ribosomal RNA". It matches the Rfam family "Bacterial large subunit ribosomal RNA", at positions 1 to 1251 of the family's 2925-position model. The record is from RNAcentral. Lineage: Bacteria; Pseudomonadati; Pseudomonadota; Gammaproteobacteria; Enterobacterales; Enterobacteriaceae.